CUCUCUCCCUCUUGUCUCUCUAAGUUGAUCUCUAUCAUGGCUCUCUCUCUGUCUCCCCAUCGAUGUCUAAGCUUGGUUUUCUUGUUCAGCGCUGAAAGCAGAGGGUGCCGGAGCAGAGCACAUCGACUCUUUUUAUAGUAUUGAAGCAUGAAAGAGGCAGAGUGUUACGUGGAUGAAUUAGUGGUGAAGACAAAGAAACGAGCCGACCAUCUUCAUGAUUUAAGGCAAGUGUUUGAGCGACUGCGAAGGUACCAGUUUAAGGUGAAUCCCUUGAAGUGCGCUUUUGGGGUUACAUCUAGAAAGUUUUUUGGGUUCAUCGUGCGUCACCGCGGUAUAGAGAUUGAGCAAUCUAAAAUUGACGCUAUCCUAAAAAUGCCUAAACCUCGGAAUAUUCAUGAGUUGAAGAGUCUUCAAGGAUGAUUGGCUUAUCUCCACCGCUUCAUAUCAAAUUUGGCUGCUUGAUGUCAACCGCUUUGUGAAGAAAGCGAAUCAUUUUGAGUGGGAUGAAGCGUGCAACAAUGCUUUCAAAAGCAUGAAAUCCUAUUUAACGAGCCCUCCAGUUCCAGUUCUCACUGCUCCUAUACUUUGACGACCAAUAAUCUUGUAUAUCACAGCACAACAACGUUCGAUUGAAGCCCUCCAACCGAAUGCAGAGAUAAUUUUUGCAAAAUUAAGCUUAUCUGUUAGUUAUUUUGUGCAGAUAUAGGAACAAUAUUUGCAGGAAUAAGUUUCUCUAUCUUUAUCUGGGACACAUACAGUAUAAACUUUGCAGAGAUAAUUUUAUGUGUUCAUUACUUUAUGCAGAUAUAGAAAUAAAUUUUGCAAA
This is a long non-coding RNA of Rhododendron vialii, 826 nucleotides long. RefSeq lists it as uncharacterized. The transcript is spliced from 2 exons. The record is from RefSeq and is a predicted model, not a curated record. Lineage: Eukaryota; Viridiplantae; Streptophyta; Magnoliopsida; Ericales; Ericaceae.